RNAcentral lists this non-coding RNA (908 nucleotides) under Trichomonas vaginalis G3. RNAcentral's name for it is "Eukaryotic small subunit ribosomal RNA". It matches the Rfam family "Eukaryotic small subunit ribosomal RNA", at positions 6 to 1113 of the family's 1831-position model. Lineage: Eukaryota; Parabasalia; Trichomonadida; Trichomonadidae. The record is from Rfam by way of RNAcentral.
GGUUGAUCCUGCCAGGAAGCACACUUAGGUCAUAGAUUAAGCCAUGCAAGUGUUAGUUCAGGUAACGAAACUGCGAAUAGCUCAUUAAUACGCUCAGAAUCUAUUUGGCGGCGACCAACAGGUCUUAAAUGGAUAGCAGCAGCAACUCUGGUGCUAAUACAUGCGAUUGUUUCUCCAGAUGUGAAUUAUGGAGGAAAAGUUGACCUCAUCAGAGGCACGCCAUUCGACUGAGUGACCUAUCAGCUUGUACUUAGGGUCUUUACCUAGGUAGGCUAUCACGGGUAACGGGCGGUUACCGUCGGACUGCCGGAGAAGGCGCCUGAGAGAUAGCGACUAUAUCCACGGGUAGCAGCAGGCGCGAAACUUUCCCACUCGAGACUUUCGGAGGAGGUAAUGACCAGUUCCAUUGGUGCCUUUUGGUACUGUGGAUAGGGGUACGGUUUUCCACCGUACCGAAACCUAGCAGAGGGCCAGUCUGGUGCCAGCAGCUGCGGUAAUUCCAGCUCUGCGAGUUUGCUCCCAUAUUGUUGCAGUUAAAACGCCCGUAGUCUGAAUUGGCCAGCAAUGGUCGUACGUAUUUUUACGUUCACUGUGAACAAAUCAGGACGCUUAGAGUAUGGCCACAUGAAUGACUCAGCGCAGUAUGAAGUCUUUGUUUUCUUCCGAAAACAAGCUCAAUGAGAGCCAUCGGGGGUAGAUCUAUCUCAUGACGAGUGGUGGAAUACUUUGACUCAUGAGAGAGAAGCUGAGGCGAAGGCGUCUACCUAGAGGGUUUCUGUCGAUCAAGGGCGAGAGUAGGAGUAUCCAACAGGAUUAGAGACCCUGGUAGUUCCUACCUUAAACGAUGCCGACAGGAGUUUGUCAUUUGUUAAUGGCAGAAUCUUUGGAGAAAUCAUAGUUCUUGGGCU